Molecule: ribosomal RNA, 400 nt
Filed under: uncultured bacterium
Lineage: Bacteria
Description: bacterial SSU rRNA
Rfam family: Bacterial small subunit ribosomal RNA
Source: RNAcentral
GGGGAAUAUUGGACAAUGGGCGAAAGCCUGAUCCAGCAAUGCCGCGUGAGUGAUGAAGGCCUUAGGGUUGUAAAGCUCUUUUACCAGGGAUGAUAAUGACAGUACCUGGAGAAUAAGCUCCGGCUAACUCCGUGCCAGCAGCCGCGGUAAUACGGAGGGAGCUAGCGUUGUUCGGAAUUACUGGGCGUAAAGCGUGCGUAGGCGGUUAUUCAAGUCAGAGGUGAAAGCCUGGAGCUCAACUCCAGAACUGCCUUUGAAACUAGAUAACUAGAAUCUUGGAGAGGUGAGUGGAAUUCCGAGUGUAGAGGUGAAAUUCGUAGAUAUUCGGAAGAACACCAGUGGCGAAGGCGACUCACUGGACAAGUAUUGACGCUGAGGUACGAAAGCGUGGGGAGCAAAC